Long non-coding RNA from Myotis davidii, 382 nucleotides. RefSeq lists it as uncharacterized. NCBI's taxonomy places the organism in Eukaryota, Metazoa, Chordata, Mammalia, Chiroptera, Vespertilionidae. The transcript has 3 exons. The record is from RefSeq and is a predicted model, not a curated record.
UUUCCUGCAGAAUGGGGUAGUUGUAUUUCACUCAUAAUCAGAAGCAUAUCAACCCAUGAAUUCUGUUCCAGAUGAAAAGAGUCUCUUUAGGACACACCGGCUUUGGGUUGUACGUCUGAAAUUUUAUCAGAGGCCUUGGGUUUGGUCAAUCAAACAUCAUACUGGCAGCUUUUACUUAGGGAGCACUCAGAACUGACGUCAAUAUCUGCCCUCGUGUUUAUUUGUAAUUAAAGUUAAGAUGCUUUAGAACAGCGUUACCAUGAAUCUAUAAACCUCGCGCCGUUUCCUGUGUUAUGAGCUCAAUCUGAUUCCAUCAAGUAAAUAUAUGGGAAGUUGAGAUUACAUAAUUUAACCUGGCAUUUGAGGAAAUAUUCAUAAAAUA